This 888-nucleotide ribosomal RNA is filed under the name uncultured Methanosaeta sp. RNAcentral's name for it is "bacterial SSU rRNA". It matches the Rfam family "Archaeal small subunit ribosomal RNA", at positions 18 to 907 of the family's 1478-position model. The record is from RNAcentral. Lineage: Archaea; Methanobacteriati; Methanobacteriota; Methanomicrobia; Methanotrichales; Methanotrichaceae.
SWKMKRUUACUGCUAUCGRSAUUCGACUAAGCCAUGCGAGUUGAAUGUUCUUCGUGAACAUGGCGGACUGCUCAGUAACACGUGGACAACCUACCCUUGGGUCCGGCAUAAUCCUGGGAAACUGGGAAUAAUUCCGGAUAGGUCACCGAUGCUGGAAUGCGCGGUGGCCGAAAGCUCCGGCGCCCGAGGAUGGGUCUGCGGCCUAUCAGGGUUGUAGUGGGUGUAACGUACCUACUAGCCUACGACGGGUACGGGUUGUGAGAGCAAGAGCCCGGAGAUGGAUUCUGAGACACGAAUCCAGGCCCUACGGGGUGCAGCAGGCGCGAAAACUUUACAAUGCGGGAAACCGUGAUAAGGGGAUCUCGAGUGCCAGCAUAUAAUGUUGGCUGUCCAGAUGCCUAAAAAGCAUCUGUUAGCAAGGGCCGGGCAAGACCGGUGCCAGCCGCCGCGGUAACACCGGCGGCCCGAGUGGUAACCGCUAUUAUUGGGUCUAAAGGGUCUGUAGCCGGCCAGGUAAGUCCCUUGGGAAAUCUGGCAGCUCAACUGUCAGGCUGCUAGGGGAUACUGUUUGGCUUGGGACCGGGAGAGGUGAGAGGUACCUUGGGGGUAGGGGUGAAAUCUUGUGAUCCUCGAGGGACCACCAGUGGCGAAGGCGUCUCACCAGAACGGGUCCGACGGUAAGGGACGAAAGCUAGGGGCACGAACCGGAUUAGAUACCCGGGUAGUCCUAGCCGUAAACGAUGCUCGCUAGGUGUCAGUCACGGUGCGACCGUGAUUGGUGCCGUAGGGAAGCCGUGAAGCGAGCCACCUGGGAAGUAUGGCCGCAAGGCUGAAACUUAAAGGAAUUGGCGGGGGAGCACUACAACSSGUGGAGCCUGCGGUUUAGUG